RNAcentral lists this unclassified non-coding RNA (52 nucleotides) under uncultured archaeon. RNAcentral describes it as "sR41". The record is from RNAcentral.
GCCGAUGAUGAUAAGCAAUCACUGAAUUGUGAUGAACCCUAUGAGUACUGAU